Molecule: ribosomal RNA, 327 nt
Filed under: uncultured eukaryote
Lineage: Eukaryota
Description: partial 18S ribosomal RNA
Rfam family: Eukaryotic small subunit ribosomal RNA
Source: RNAcentral
CCCUUAGAUGUUCUGGGCCGCACGCGCGCUACACUGAUUCAUGCAACAAGUUUUGUCCUUGGCUGAUAGGCCUGGGUAAUCUUUGAACGUGAAUCGUGAUGGGGAUAGAUGAUUGCAAUUAUUCAUCUUCAACGAGAAAUUCCUAGUAAACGCAAGUCAUCAGCUUGCAUUGAUUACGUCCCUGCCCUUUGUACACACCGCCCGUCGCACCUACCGAUUGAAUGGUCCGGUGAAAUCUUCGGAUCUGAGAGAUGUCUGAUUAAUUUCGGACGCCUUUUGGAAAAGUUGCUUAAACCUUACCAUUUAGAGGAAGGUGAAGUCGUAACA